RNAcentral lists this ribosomal RNA (1253 nucleotides) under Debaryomyces sp. FZT01. Its description in RNAcentral is "eukaryotic LSU rRNA". The stretch from base 604 to 1253 matches the Rfam family "Eukaryotic large subunit ribosomal RNA", at positions 1 to 667 of the family's 3401-position model. Lineage: Eukaryota; Fungi; Ascomycota; Pichiomycetes; Serinales; Debaryomycetaceae. The record is from RNAcentral.
GGAAGUAAAAGUCGUAACAAGGUUUCCGUAGGUGAACCUGCGGAAGGAUCAUUACAGUAUUCUUUUUGCCAGCGCUUAAUUGCGCGGCGAAAAAACCUUACACACAGUGUUGUUAUUACAAGAACUUUUGCUUUGGUCUGGACUAGAAAUAGUUUGGGCCAGAGGUUUACUGAACUAAACUUCAAUAUUUAUAUUGAAUUGUUAUUUAUUUAAUUGUCAAUUUGUUGAUUAAAUUCAAAAAAUCUUCAAAACUUUCAACAACGGAUCUCUUGGUUCUCGCAUCGAUGAAGAACGCAGCGAAAUGCGAUAAGUAAUAUGAAUUGCAGAUUUUCGUGAAUCAUCGAAUCUUUGAACGCACAUUGCGCCCUCUGGUAUUCCAGAGGGCAUGCCUGUUUGAGCGUCAUUUCUCUCUCAAACCUUUCGGGUUUGGUAUUGAGUGAUACUCUUAGUCGAACUAGGCGUUUGCUUGAAAUGUAUUGGCAUGAGUGGUACUGGAUAGUGCUAUAUGACUUUCAAUGUAUUAGGUUUAUCCAACUCGUUGAAUAGUUUAAUGGUAUAUUUCUCGGUAUUCUAGGCUCGGCCUUACAAUAUAACAAACAAGUUUGACCUCAAAUCAGGUAGGAUUACCCGCUGAACUUAAGCAUAUCAAUAAGCGGAGGAAAAGAAACCAACAGGGAUUGCCUUAGUAACGGCGAGUGAAGCGGCAAAAGCUCAAAUUUGAAAUCUGGCACCUUCGGUGUCCGAGUUGUAAUUUGAAGAAGGUAACUUUGGAGUUGGCUCUUGUCUAUGUUCCUUGGAACAGGACGUCACAGAGGGUGAGAAUCCCGUGCGAUGAGAUGCCCAAUUCUAUGUAAAGUGCUUUCGAAGAGUCGAGUUGUUUGGGAAUGCAGCUCUAAGUGGGUGGUAAAUUCCAUCUAAAGCUAAAUAUUGGCGAGAGACCGAUAGCGAACAAGUACAGUGAUGGAAAGAUGAAAAGAACUUUGAAAAGAGAGUGAAAAAGUACGUGAAAUUGUUGAAAGGGAAGGGCUUGAGAUCAGACUUGGUAUUUUGCGAUCCUUUCCUUCUUGGUUGGGUUCCUCGCAGCUUACUGGGCCAGCAUCGGUUUGGAUGGUAGGAUAAUGACUAAGGAAUGUGGCUCUACUUCGGUGGAGUGUUAUAGCCUUGGUUGAUACUGCCUGUCUAGACCGAGGACUGCGUCUUUGACUAGGAUGCUGGCAUAAUGAUCUUAAGCCACCCGUCUUGAAACACGGACC